Molecule: long non-coding RNA, 653 nt
Filed under: Crocodylus porosus (Australian saltwater crocodile)
Lineage: Eukaryota; Metazoa; Chordata; Crocodylia; Crocodylidae
Description: lncRNA (ENSCPRG00005013058.1)
Source: RNAcentral
CUCAUAUGUGUGUACGUGUAAGGUGCUGCCAGAAUUUAUCCUCCAGAAUUCUGGGAUAAAAUUUACACAAAGAGUUGGAAAAUGUUGACUGCAAACAGCCAUCUCUAGUUUUCUUUGUAUGAACUGAGUACUUAAGUUUUCACCUUCAUGACACUGAAUUCCCUUGAAGAAUGACAUGAAGGGAAGAAAUCGGUUUCUAGUUUAUAUCGUCUUUCUAGUCAGAAAAAUCUUGUGUGUGACAUGCGGGGCUGGGUGAAGCUAAUUUAGCUUUUUACAGUGGUGGUUUUACAAGAGCACUGCCUCACAACUUAUACAUCUGAACAUGGAUUUGAAAUGACAGACUUCAAAGGGCUGAAAAGGAAUCAGGAGGAUGGUUUGAUGGAUGCUCUCCUGGGCAGGAAAUUCUCUUGUGUUGAGACACUUUGAGCUCUGUGAACAUGCAGAUUUAGCUGGAAUAACAGGCAACAGCCAGGGUGUCAGCUUUCAGGUUCCAAGGAUUUGCCUACUGCAGAAGGACCCAUAGAGAAAACAAGUGACAUGAAAUUUUAUUUAGGUUUGUAUGUUUUUACUUUUUCAUUAUUAGCAGCCUUGUUUCAAAGAGAAGCAAAAACAAAAAACCCCCAACUCUUACAUUUAAAGGUAACUAUUGCUUU